UGCUGCAUAUCAAUAAGCGGAGGAAAAGAAACCAACCGGGAUUGCCUUAGUAACGGCGAGUGAAGCGGCAAAAGCUCAAAUUUGAAAUCUGGUACCUUCGGUGCCCGAGUUGUAAUUUGGAGAGGGCAACUUUGGGGCCGUUCCUUGUCUAUGUUCCUUGGAACAGGACGUCAUAGAGGGUGAGAAUCCCGUGUGGCGAGGAGUGCGGUUCUUUGUAAAGUGCCUUCGAAGAGUCGAGUUGUUUGGGAAUGCAGCUCUAAGUGGGUGGUAAAUUCCAUCUAAAGCUAAAUAUUGGCGAGAGACCGAUAGCGAACAAGUACAGUGAUGGAAAGAUGAAAAGAACUUUGAAAAGAGAGUGAAAAAGUACGUGAAAUUGUUGAAAGGGAAGGGCAUUUGAUCAGACAUGGUGUUUUGUGCCCUCUGCUCCUUGUGGGUAGGGGAAUCUCGCAUUUCACUGGGCCAGCAUCAGUUUUGGUGGCAGGAUAAAUCCAUAGGAAUGUAGCUUGCCUCGGUAAGUAUUAUAGCCUGUGGGAAUACUGCCAGCUGGGACUGAGGACUGCGACGUAGUCAAGAAGUUGCAUCGGCAGA
Molecule: ribosomal RNA, 588 nt
Filed under: Saccharomyces cerevisiae (brewer's yeast)
Lineage: Eukaryota; Fungi; Ascomycota; Saccharomycetes; Saccharomycetales; Saccharomycetaceae
Description: partial large subunit ribosomal RNA
Rfam family: Eukaryotic large subunit ribosomal RNA
Source: RNAcentral